GAUGAACGCUGGCGGCGUGCCUAAUACAUGCAAGUCGAGCGAACAGACGAGGAGCUUGCUCCUCUGACGUUAGCGGCGGACGGGUGAGUAACACGUGGAUAACCUACCUAUAAGACUGGGAUAACUUCGGGAAACCGGAGCUAAUACCGGAUAAUAUAUUGAACCGCAUGGUUCAAUAGUGAAAGACGGUUUUGCUGUCACUUAUAGAUGGAUCCGCGCCGCAUUAGCUAGUUGGUAAGGUAACGGCUUACCAAGGCAACGAUGCGUAGCCGACCUGAGAGGGUGAUCGGCCACCCUGGAACUGAGACCCGGUCCAGACUCCUACGGGAGGCAGCAGUAGGGAAUCUUCCGCAAUGGUCGAAAGCCUGACGGAGCAACGCCGCGUGAGUGAUGAAGGUCUUCGGAUCUUAAAACUCUGUUAUUAGGGAAGAACAAAUGUGUAAGUAACUAUGCACGUCUUGACGGUACCUAAUCAGAAAGCCACGGCUAACUACGUG
This 497-nucleotide ribosomal RNA is filed under the name uncultured bacterium. Its description in RNAcentral is "partial 16S ribosomal RNA". It matches the Rfam family "Bacterial small subunit ribosomal RNA", at positions 28 to 507 of the family's 1533-position model. The record is from RNAcentral.